RNAcentral lists this ribosomal RNA (734 nucleotides) under uncultured Streptococcaceae bacterium. Its description in RNAcentral is "bacterial SSU rRNA". It matches the Rfam family "Bacterial small subunit ribosomal RNA", at positions 63 to 780 of the family's 1533-position model. Lineage: Bacteria; Bacillati; Bacillota; Bacilli; Lactobacillales; Streptococcaceae. The record is from RNAcentral.
AGAACGCUGAGAACUGGUGCUUGCACCGGUUCAAGGAGUUGCGAACGGGUGAGUAACGCGUAGGUAACCUACCUCAUAGCGGGGGAUAACUAUUGGAAACGAUAGCUAAUACCGCAUAAGAGAGACUAACGCAUGUUAGUAAUUUAAAAGGGGCAAUUGCUCCACUAUGAGAUGGACCUGCGUUGUAUUAGCUAGUUGGUGAGGUAAAGGCUCACCAAGGCGACGAUACAUAGCCGACCUGAGAGGGUGAUCGGCCACACUGGGACUGAGACACGGCCCAGACUCCUACGGGAGGCAGCAGUAGGGAAUCUUCGGCAAUGGGGGCAACCCUGACCGAGCAACGCCGCGUGAGUGAAGAAGGUUUUCGGAUCGUAAAGCUCUGUUGUUAGAGAAGAAUGAUGGUGGGAGUGGAAAAUCCACCAAGUGACGGUAACUAACCAGAAAGGGACGGCUAACUACGUGCCAGCAGCCGCGGUAAUACGUAGGUCCCGAGCGUUGUCCGGAUUUAUUGGGCGUAAAGCGAGCGCAGGCGGUUUUUUAAGUCUGAAGUUAAAGGCAUUGGCUCAACCAAUGUACGCUUUGGAAACUGGAGAACUUGAGUGCAGAAGGGGAGAGUGGAAUUCCAUGUGUAGCGGUGAAAUGCGUAGAUAUAUGGAGGAACACCGGUGGCGAAAGCGGCUCUCUGGUCUGUAACUGACGCUGAGGCUCGAAAGCGUGGGGAGCAAACAGGAUUA